This 252-nucleotide ribosomal RNA is filed under the name uncultured bacterium. Its description in RNAcentral is "partial 16S ribosomal RNA". It matches the Rfam family "Bacterial small subunit ribosomal RNA", at positions 80 to 334 of the family's 1533-position model. The record is from RNAcentral.
CCAAAAGCUGGCGACCGGCGCACGGGUGAGUAACACGUAUCCAACCUGCCUCAUACUCGGGGAUAGCCUUUCGAAAGAAAGAUUAAUAUCCGAUAGCAUAUAUUUCCCGCAUGGGUUUUAUAUUAAAGAAAUUCGGUAUGAGAUGGGGAUGCGUUCCAUUAGUUUGUUGGGGGGGUAACGGCCCACCAAGACUACGAUGGAUAGGGGUUCUGAGAGGAAGGUCCCCCACACUGGUACUGAGACACGGACCAG